AUCACUUCUUGGCCUUUUGGCUAAGACCAAGUGUAGUAUACCCUUCUUGUAGGCAAAUGUCAUCAUUUACACCCAUCUAAAAAGCAUGUGUGUAUGUUUAAGAUACUUUCCUGUGAACAAUUUCCUUAUUAAUUAUUUUGUUGAAAAUUCCAAA
Molecule: small nuclear RNA, 154 nt
Filed under: Canis lupus familiaris (dog)
Lineage: Eukaryota; Metazoa; Chordata; Mammalia; Carnivora; Canidae
Description: U2 spliceosomal RNA (multiple genes)
Rfam family: U2 spliceosomal RNA
About the family: U2 is a small nuclear RNA (snRNA) component of the spliceosome (involved in pre-mRNA splicing). Complementary binding between U2 snRNA (in an area lying towards the 5' end but 3' to hairpin I) and the branchpoint sequence (BPS) of the intron results the bulging out of an unpaired adenosine, on the BPS, which initiates a nucleophilic attack at the intronic 5' splice site, thus starting the first of two transesterification reactions that mediate splicing.
Source: RNAcentral